Long non-coding RNA from Astatotilapia calliptera (eastern happy), 1577 nucleotides. The record is from Ensembl. NCBI's taxonomy places the organism in Eukaryota, Metazoa, Chordata, Actinopteri, Cichliformes, Cichlidae.
AAGUAUACUUUUUUCCUUUUUUCUAUGGGUCUUUUACAUCGAAUGAAUUAAAUUGUGUAAUUUAAACUCUUUACUCAAAAUGUGUUUGAUGAAAAGCAAGGCAAGAAAUGAAACCAAACUUCUUCCUGGUGAGUCACUUUUUCUGGCAGAGACACAAAGGUUGAUGAUUCAAAUCCUGUGUUUUCAUGACCUCACUGAGAUCAACAAAUGCAAAUAGCUGCAUAUCCCCUGAUGAUGCUUGCAGAUAUACUUGAGUUUUGAUUUGUUCUGUCCCUGUGUCACGGUCCCGGGUUUGGAUCCACAGUUUUCAAUUACAAACUUUAAAUUCUUGUCUUUAUUUAACAUUCUGGUUCUCAGUCUCAUUGUUCAUUAAUCUUUGAGUAUUUGUUUCAGUGUUUGGCUGCUUUCAGCAGGUUCAACUUUUAUUUUGUAGUGUCUUGUUGUUUCCUUAUUCUUCUGUGUGUCCGGUCUGUCAGUUUUGUAUCUUUGAGUCUUUUGUCUCCAAUAGUUACUUCCUGUUUUAUUUUGAUAGUCGUUUGUCACUGUGCUUUAUUUUGUGUUCUACUUCUCUUGUCUCAUCAUCCCUGAUUUGUUCCUGCUCCACCUGUUUCCUCUUACCUCUCUACCUUUUGUGUUUAUUGUCUCAGUUUCCCAUCAUUCCUUGUUGGGCAUGUGUUUCCUGGUGUUUUCUCUCCCUAAGUUCCAAUAGUAUUAUUCCUUAAACCUCCUGGUUUUGGGUUUUGUUUCUUGUGUUUUUUGGACUGUUUUUUUUUUUUUUUUAAACUAAACAGUAGUCAGCCCUGCGACAGACUGGCGACUUGUCCAGGGUAGCGCUGUACCUUGCACUAUUUUAUCAACUGAUUCACACUAUAACCAGGGUUUGCCUCUUAUCUGUAUUUUAAUUUUAUUACAGUACAGUACUCAGUUUUUGGUAACCAUUGUCCUUCAUGUAAAUAUGUAAAAAUUGUGUAUGUUUCUGCUCUGUGUCUUGUGUACUGUUCGUUUGUAUAUGUGUCUUUCUCGCUGCUGUUACACCCAAAUUUCCCCUUGUGGGACAAUUAAAGGAUUAUUCUAUUCAAUUCUACCCUGCCUCCCGCCCUGAGACAGCUGGGAUAGGCUCCAGCGCCCCCCCCCCCCAGCCCCCCCCCCCCGAAAAGGAUAAGCCUAAGCAAAUAGAUGGAUGGACUAAACAGUAUUAAAGACUCGCUUUAUGUUCACCUCCAUCUCUUGCAUUCUGUAUUUGCAUCAGCAGACUACAAACUUCAUUCAACAGACACCUGAUCGUGACAACUUUAUGUAUUUAUUGCCACAUUUGGCAGAUUUUACAGACUCAGCUAGCGAAAAGAAAACGACUUUAGGCUAUAAAAACUGUAGUUUGUGACACUGACUUUCGCUACAAAUAACAAUAAAAUGAAUAAGCAUAAAUGAAUGAAACUUCCUGUUUGAUGAAAGCUGGAAGUUUUCUGUUAAUUCUGGUUAAAACACAAUAAAUAUCAGGUGUACUCACCAAUAAUCAGAUUCAGGUCAGAUGCUGGGAAAUAAAAUAUGAACUCAGUUGGAUUUUCUUCAGAGAGAAG